RNAcentral lists this non-coding RNA (25 nucleotides) under Mus musculus (house mouse). The record is from RNAcentral. Lineage: Eukaryota; Metazoa; Chordata; Mammalia; Rodentia; Muridae.
UAACAGCACUUGAGUGACACAUGGU